This 254-nucleotide ribosomal RNA is filed under the name uncultured bacterium. RNAcentral's name for it is "partial 16S ribosomal RNA". It matches the Rfam family "Bacterial small subunit ribosomal RNA", at positions 524 to 776 of the family's 1533-position model. The record is from RNAcentral.
UACGUAGGGAGCAAGCGUUGUCCGGAAUCAUUGGGCGUAAAGCGCGCGUAGGUGGCCACAUAAGUCCGUUGUGAAAGUCAAAGGCUCAACCUUUGAAAGCCGGUGGAUACUGUGGGACUAGAGUACGGAAGAGGCGAGUGGAAUUCCUGGUGUAGCGGUGGAAUGCGCAGAUAUCAGGAGGAACACCAAUAGCGAAGGCAGCUCGCUGGGACGUUUACUGACACUGAGGCGCGAAAGCGUGGGGAGCGAACAGG